This 540-nucleotide long non-coding RNA is filed under the name Vulpes vulpes (red fox). RNAcentral's name for it is "lncRNA (ENSVVUG00000004186.1)". Lineage: Eukaryota; Metazoa; Chordata; Mammalia; Carnivora; Canidae. The record is from RNAcentral.
CUGGAACACAUGGUCUCCAUGGAAGGGAAGGAGAGGGCUGGAGAAUCACACAUGAUGAUAUAGGCAGGAGCCCUGGUAUCUUGAUCCAAGCUGGACUUCUGGGUCCCAAAAGCCCAUCUGACGUACAGGGUCAAGAACUGGCUACAGAAUGUGAAACAGAGGAAAUCCAUGUGCUUGUUGAUAAGCAAAAAAGAAGACAUCUAAUCCAAGAUAUUCAAGAUAUUUCUACCAUGCAGGAAAUGAAUUCAGAGUCUGCAACUGUGUUUUCUCUGUAUCUAUCUGAAAUAGUGUAUGAACCUCCCCUAUCCCAAGUCCUGGGGGCUAAGUUGGGUAUAUUACUCCUGUGUCCUCACUGCCCUUAUAUAUACCAUUUCAGUAUAUGUCACCAUGUGCUUUAAUUGCUUCUUUGCCUAUCUAUAUCCCCCAUUUGAAUGUGAAUUCUAGAAGGGUAGAAACUAUGCUGGCCUAAAACACACUGAUGUCCCCAAGAUGUAGCACAGGGCCUGGUAUACAGUAGAGGCUCAAUAAAUAUUUAUCAAA